UUCAGAAGCCUAUAGGCACAUGAAAUUUGAAGGAGGUGUUCACAGAGUACAAAGAGUGCCAAAGACAGAAAAGCAAGGCCGCGUCCAUACUAGCACCAUGACUGUAGCAAUAUUACCCCAGCCUACUGAGAUUAAUCUGGUGAUUAAUCCGAAAGAUUUGAGAAUUGACACUAAGCGAGCCAGUGGAGCUGGGGGGCAGCAUGUAAAUACCACGGACAGUGCUGUCCGGAUAGUUCAUCUUCCAACAGGAAGAAGAAAAAGGAUGAGGAGGAAAAGUAUUCCUUGAUAAUAAGUAAAGAAGAUUUUUUUAUUAAAACUUUUUAAUUCUCGUAACACUAUUCAGGUGUUGUUUCUGAAUGUCAACAAGAGAGAUCUCAGCUGAAAAAUAAAGAGCUGGCUAUGACAAAGUUACGUGCAAAACUGUACAGCAUGCAUCUAGAAGAAGAAAUAAAUAAAAGACAGAAUGCUAGAAAAAUUCAGAUUGGAAGUAAAGGAAGAUCAGAGAAAAUAAGAACAUAUAAUUUUCCACAGAACCGGGUCACAGAUCACAGAAUAAACAAGACGCUGCAUGAUCUUGAAACUUUUAUGCAAGGAGAUUAUCUACUGGAUGAACUUGUACAGUCAUUGAAGGAAUACGCCGAUUAUGAAUCUUUAGUAGAAAUUAUUUCCCAAAAAGUUUAAGUUGAUUUGUUAUUUAUAGACUUUCGUAGCUUAGAAAAAUUCUACAGUACAUCCACAUAGGGUGAAAGUACCCUUACUCUCUUGAAAAACGUUGAGUUAACACAGUUGGAGGUAAUAUGCAUAUUCUGAAGUCAUAGAUAAUUUACACAGAUCUCUCUCAAUGCAUUAGCAAAAAUCAUACAAUAUACAGAUGGUCCUCGAUUUACAUUGUGGUUAAUUCCCAAUAAACCCAUCAUAAGUUAAAAAUGCAUAUAACGUUAGCAACACAGCAGUCUCCUAAUUAAUGACAGCUUGACUUAACAAUUUUCCAACUUUACCAUGGUGUGAAAGAGGUAUGAUUCCUAAGCCCUAAGGAGCUCCUCAGCUUGAAAUGGGGCUGCAUCCCUAUAAACCCAUCAUAAAGUCAAAAAAUCCUAAAACAUAAGUUGGUGACCAUCUGUAAUCAUGAUGUGGUGGUAAAUCUUGGACGCUACCUUACAAUAACUAGACAAAGGAAAAUCAUCCUUUGUCCUGUUCUGUGUAAAUAUUUAAUGAAUGAUCAAAACUUCAGUUUAAAUAUUAUGAAAAACUUUAAACAUAAAGUAGUAGAAAUAAGACAGUAAAUACUGUAUCCUAAUAUCCAGUCAGGAUACAGAAACCAUACCAUUAACUUGAACAGGGAUAAUUUUAAUAUAAAAACUGUUAACUGAUAAUGGUAUUAACUUUUAAGAGGGAUGAAAGAGAGCUAUGAUGUCCUAGGACUGAGAGUACCCCAGGAAAGAAUACCCUUGAAAGGGUCUCCCCUUCCCCAUGGUGAAGUCAGGCCUAAUGGAGAGAGUGGCUACAGCCUACUCAGUGAUUGGGAAAUUCCCUGUCUUGCCCUGGGCCAGAGCUGGUGUACCGCUGGUGGAUCAGGUCUUACAAGCAAAGAACCUCACACUCCCAACUGGUAAGCCAGAAGCCUCUUGCUAGGGUGUGAGCAAAACUUGGACAGGAACUCUCAGUAGAUGUUUGUGUUUGUCAAGAUUCUCCAGACAAACUUCCUUAAAAGGAUUGGCUUGUGUUGUUAUUAUUAAGUCUAACAAGUCCAAAAGCUGGAGUGUGAGGCAGGAGGCUGGAAACCCAGGAAAGCUGAUGGUGCAAGGUCCAGUCCAAAGGUAUCUGUUGGAGGAUUCUCUUGUUCUGGGAAGAGGACGGUCUUUUUUUCUCUUCAGACCUUCACCUGACUGGAUCAAGCCCACUAACAUCGAGGAGGACAGUCUGCAUUACUCAGAGUUCACUGAUUGAUUUAAAUGUCAAUCUCAUAUAAAACACCCUCACAGAAACACCUAGAAUAAUGUUUGACCUUAUAAUUGGAAAAUCAGAGCAAAAGUUAAAUCUCAAAAAAAAAAAAAAAAAAAGUAUGACCCAGUAGCUAGGCACCUGUGGCCCCGCCAAGUUGACACAUAAAAUUAACUGUCACAGUAUCAUCUUAGAAGUGAAAGAAGCCCCUUUAUCCUGCAGUGCCCCUCUACCACCACCUACUGACAAAGAACAUGGUGCUAUCUGGCAUGGGAGAAAUGUUCAGUUUGCUAUGGCUUGUAUGUGUCCCCUCAAAUUCAAGUGUUGCCAAUGUGACAGCAUCAAGAGGUGGGGUCUUUAAGAGAUCACUAGGCCAUGAGGGAUUCUCUUAGGACUGGGAUGAAGGCCCAUAAUAAAAGAGGUUUCGGGGAGCAUCCUGCUAGCUUGCCUUCUGUAUGUGAGAACACAGCAAGAAAGCCCUAGUCAACAAGUGCCAGCUCCUUGAUCUUAGACUUCCCAUCCUCCAGAACUGUGAGAAAUACAUUUCUGUUCCUUACAAAUUACCCAGUCUCCUGUAUUCUGUUAUAGCAGCACAAAAUGAAGAUACCAUACCUGAACACCUGAACAUUCUUCACAAGGUAGUAAAUGCACUGCUUUAUUCUGGUCUCAGUAUUGUGUGCUUAAUAAGGAAAUGAGAAAGGGUGGAUCAGGGCAUAGGAUGAACAAGUUACUGCUAGACCUCUCACAAUGCCACUAAUGGAUAAGAUUGUAUUUUCAUCAUUCUUGUCUCUUCGGAAGCUAACACCAUGCUAUAAUAGGCACUAAAUAGAUGUCUAAAAACACCUUAAGUAUUUGUCUAGAAAUCUGGUGCAUUGUUCAGAAAGAACCAAAAUUCAAAAUAAUUUCAAAGGGCCUAAAGCACUAGUUAAUCAAAAUUCAUUAGUUUUUAAUGGUACUACCACUCUCAAAUUUAAAAUGUCAUCUUACGUUCCUCUUCCUCGCAUUGGAUUUAUUGCUAAAACCUGGUAAACACUUUUAAUCCUUUUCAAUUCCAUUACCACUGCUCUUGUCCAGAAUUACUUCGCAGACUAAUAGUCACCUGACUUCUCCCCUGCAUCCGAUUUGCUGUCUAAUUCUGGUUACAAAUAAGUAACUGCCAAACUAAUCUUUCUAAAAAGCAAGACUGAUCUCGUCACUCCUUUGCUCAACAAUGUAAAAGCUCCCAUUGUCUCCCAAAUAAAACCAGCUUUCCACUGUGUAUACAAUACAUCCA
Molecule: long non-coding RNA, 3214 nt
Filed under: Homo sapiens (human)
Lineage: Eukaryota; Metazoa; Chordata; Mammalia; Primates; Hominidae
Description: non-protein coding lnc-MTRF1L-1:1
Source: RNAcentral